UCAGAAAAUAAUAUAUAAAUAAAGUAUAUAAAUUUUGGAGAUUUAUUGAGAUAAGUUCUUUUCUGAA
Molecule: transfer RNA, 67 nt
Filed under: Dermacentor reticulatus
Lineage: Eukaryota; Metazoa; Arthropoda; Arachnida; Ixodida; Ixodidae
Description: tRNA-Pro
Source: RNAcentral